UACGUAGGGUGCAAGCGUUAAUCGGAAUUACUGGGCGUAAAGCGUGCGCAGGCGGCUAUGCAAGACAGAUGUGAAAUCCCCGGGCCCAACCUGGGAAUUGCGAUGGAGACUGCAAGGCUAGAAUCUGGCAGAGGGGGGUAGAAUUCCACGUGUAGCAGUGAAAUGCGUAGAGAUGUGGAGGAACACCGAUGGCGAAGGCAGCCCCCUGGGUCAAGAUUGACGCUCAUGCACGAAAGCGUGGGGAGCAAACAGG
Molecule: ribosomal RNA, 253 nt
Filed under: uncultured bacterium
Lineage: Bacteria
Description: partial 16S ribosomal RNA
Rfam family: Bacterial small subunit ribosomal RNA
Source: RNAcentral